GAUGAAGAACGUAGCGAAAUGCGAUAAGUAAUGUGAAUUGCAGAAUUCAGUGAAUCAUCGAAUCUUUGAACGCACAUUGCGCCCGCCAGUAUUCUGGCGAGCAUGCCUGUUCGAGCGUCAUUUCAACCAUCAAGCCCCAGGCUUGUGUUGGAGCCCUGCGGCUGCCGCAGCCUCCCAAGACCAGUGGCGGGCUCGCUAUCACACCGAGUGCAGUAGUUUACUCUUCGCUCAGGGCGUGUGGCGGGUGCUAGCCGUGAAACCCCCAACUUCUCAAGGUUGACCUCGGAUCAGGUAGGAAUACCCGCUGAACUUAAGCAUAUCAAUAAGCGGAGGA
RNAcentral lists this unclassified non-coding RNA (334 nucleotides) under soil metagenome. RNAcentral's name for it is "partial contains 5.8S ribosomal RNA, internal transcribed spacer 2, and large subunit ribosomal RNA". The stretch from base 1 to 120 matches the Rfam family "5.8S ribosomal RNA", at positions 35 to 154 of the family's 154-position model. The record is from RNAcentral.